AGAGAUGGGGUUUGAUGGUUGAAAUUUGUAUUGCGGUUUUGUUCUAUUACGUGUAGGAUUUUGCUUCAUUCAUGAAAACCUCUCGUUUUCAUCUAUUUUUUCUCUCUACCACAGUUGUUUAUCAUGCAUCUUCUCUAAGAAGACACUUCUUACGAUUUUGUAUUGGGCAAACAAAAGGUUAUUAAGUUGUGUCCCAAAACCCAAGUGGCUUCAACGGUUUUGUAUUUGAUUGUAGUUGGUAGUGCA
RNAcentral lists this long non-coding RNA (246 nucleotides) under Vigna radiata. RNAcentral's name for it is "long non-coding RNA (VRAD_LNC011331)". Lineage: Eukaryota; Viridiplantae; Streptophyta; Magnoliopsida; Fabales; Fabaceae. The record is from RNAcentral.